GUACUUCCAUUGACGACUACUUUG
This 24-nucleotide small nuclear RNA is filed under the name Arabidopsis thaliana (thale cress). RNAcentral describes it as "snRNA_02234". Lineage: Eukaryota; Viridiplantae; Streptophyta; Magnoliopsida; Brassicales; Brassicaceae. The record is from RNAcentral.